CGUUAAAUUGUCUAAUUGAUAUUCAUAAGCCAGGUCUUCGCCAUUGGAGGGCUACUAAGCAGCGUCAUUAAUAUUCAGAAACACAAGCAUUCACCAUGGCCAGGAAGCAAGACAACGUCGUUGCGUCGAUCCAGUAAUAUUCGUGAACUCGGCGUAAGCCGUUGGAUAGUGACCAGGCAACGUCAGCGCGUCCUAAUUAAUAUUCAUGACAAAGGCCAUCGCCAUAGUAGGGUUCGUAAUGUCGCCGAACCGGGCGGCUUCAGACGUGCUCGAUGAUGAUAUCGAUGAAAUAAUCCCUCAGCUUCGAAACGCUACACGUGUGUCUUUCCUUCAUCGAGUAUAACGGGGUGAUGAUGAUGAUGAUGUCACGAGAUUCUGGGAUUAUAAACACUGACACACUGAACCGGUUCCGAAGCUUCAGCGUUCAGAAUCAGAACCACCAGAUCCUGUUUGUUUAGAAGCGACGAGGAUUCUAAACAAACGCUGCGAUGACACGUGACGUGAAAAGUCUAGCAGCGGGCGUCACUGGUGCAUGAUGGGAAGGCCUGACGUCAGCUGACACAGCAGGGAAACAGUUAACCUGCUCACACCUGAGAUUCUCCACACGGUUCAUCUCAUCUCAAGAGCUUCGCUGACGCCGUUUCUGCCACAGAAUAACACAGUAAAACAGUAAUUGUGUCGUUCCGUGUCAAAUCGGCCAGAGCUCCCCGACUCCCCGAGUUUUGAUUUUGUUCAUAUUUUUUUCCUGUACAAAGACAAACAUCAAUAAUGAUGAAAGCUGAAAAUGGUCAUUUUGACCCUCUUAUUCAGUAAAUAUACAUCUGUGACAUUUAAUAUUUUGGCUUUCAUCACUAUUUAUCAAAACUUUGAGUCGGGGAAGUUUCUGAAAUUUGGUAGAUUUGACACGGAAUGACCCAAUUCUGACUUUUUAUCUCACAAUUCUGACUUUUUAUCUCACAAUUCAGACUUUUUUUUUAGAAUUACUAGAAACAAACUCACAAAAGCGAGAAAAAAGUCAGAAUUGCGAGAUAAAAAGCUUCCAUAUUUUCCUACUUUUCACUUUUGAUUAAACUUUAUUAAUGGAAAAACUGUUGAUUAUGAUGCAAAUGAUGCUUCAACAAUUUCUGAAUGUAUUUCAAGAAAUAAAUGUUGAAUUGGAUUA
Molecule: long non-coding RNA, 1162 nt
Organism: Ctenopharyngodon idella (grass carp)
Lineage: Eukaryota; Metazoa; Chordata; Actinopteri; Cypriniformes; Xenocyprididae
Exons: 2
Source: RefSeq, a predicted model, not a curated record